This 282-nucleotide long non-coding RNA is filed under the name Nicotiana tabacum (common tobacco). Its description in RNAcentral is "long non-coding RNA (NTAB_LNC011427)". The record is from RNAcentral. Lineage: Eukaryota; Viridiplantae; Streptophyta; Magnoliopsida; Solanales; Solanaceae.
ACUGAACUAGCAACAGCCUUUUCAGUUUCAGGUCUGUUGCAAUCUUCAACAAAUAAAUAAUUUAGAGUUCUGGACUGAACUAGCAACAGCCUUUUCAGUUUCAAGUCUGUUGCAAUCUUCAACAAAUAAAUAAUUUAGAGUUCUGGACUGAACUAUGGUACUUGACUUUAAGUUUAUUGGAUUACUAACUCUAAUAUCAAUGCCUCACACUCUCACAGCCCUUUGUUAUAUUAAUAGUGCGAUCAUAUUCUUGGUACACGUAAUUGAAUAUACAAGUCCCAC